GACCCAAUAGGUCUAACUCUGAUACCAUGACAAAUUAGUCCUUAAGCCUAACUCACACCCUAAAAGAUAACUCAAACAGAGGAAGAUUACUCAAGUCUUAGAAGAAGUCCGGGGUUCUCAUCCCGGUCCGAUAUAGGACCAUUAUCAUCAACUCCCCCAUCAUGCCCGAUCCAAACAUUCUUUAUCCAGCCAGAGCAGUAACAUUCAAGGACUGAG
RNAcentral lists this unclassified non-coding RNA (216 nucleotides) under Hevea brasiliensis (rubber tree). Lineage: Eukaryota; Viridiplantae; Streptophyta; Magnoliopsida; Malpighiales; Euphorbiaceae. The record is from RNAcentral.